UGGGAAGAGGGUCUUACAGUGUAGGGCAGA
This 30-nucleotide non-coding RNA is filed under the name Rattus norvegicus (Norway rat). The record is from RNAcentral. Lineage: Eukaryota; Metazoa; Chordata; Mammalia; Rodentia; Muridae.